RNAcentral lists this ribosomal RNA (490 nucleotides) under uncultured bacterium. RNAcentral's name for it is "partial 16S ribosomal RNA". It matches the Rfam family "Bacterial small subunit ribosomal RNA", at positions 28 to 507 of the family's 1533-position model. The record is from RNAcentral.
GAUGAACGCUAGCGGCAGGCCUAAUACAUGCAAGUCGAACGGGAUCCAGAUCAAAGCUUGCUUUGGUUUGGUGAGAGUGGCGCACGGGUGCGUAACGCGUGAGCAACCUACCCUUGUCAGGGGGAUAGCCCGGCGAAAGUCGGAUUAAUACCGCAUGACAUCAUUGAGAGGCAUCUUUCGAUGAUCAAAGAUUUAUCGGACAAGGAUGGGCUCGCGUGACAUUAGCUAGUUGGUAAGGUAACGGCUUACCAAGGCUACGAUGUCUAGGGGCUCUGAGAGGAGAAUCCCCCACACUGGUACUGAGACACGGACCAGACUCCUACGGGAGGCAGCAGUAAGGAAUAUUGGUCAAUGGACGGAAGUCUGAACCAGCCAUGCCGCGUGCAGGAAGACGGCCCUAUGGGUUGUAAACUGCUUUUAUACGGGAACAAACGUCGGUACGUGUACCGGUCUGAGUGUACCGUAAGAAUAGGGAUCGGCUAACUCCGUG